RNAcentral lists this ribosomal RNA (496 nucleotides) under uncultured bacterium. RNAcentral describes it as "partial 16S ribosomal RNA". It matches the Rfam family "Bacterial small subunit ribosomal RNA", at positions 29 to 507 of the family's 1533-position model. The record is from RNAcentral.
AUGCACGCUUGCGGCGUGCCUCAUACCUGCCAGUCGAGCGAACAGACGAGGAGCUUGCUCCUCUGACGUUAGCGGCGGACGGGUGAGUAACACGUGGAUAACCUACCUAUAAGACUGGGAUAACUUCGGGAAACCGGAGCUAAUACCGGAUAAUAUAUUGAACCGCAUGGUUCAAUAGUGAAAGACGGUUUUGCUGUCACUUAUAGAUGGAUCCCCGCCGCAUUAGUUAGUUGGUAAGGUAACGGCUUACCAAGGCAACGAUUCGUAGCCGACCUGAGAGGGUGAUCGGCCACACUGGAACUGAGACACGGUCCAGACUCCUACGGGAGGCAGCAGUAGGGAAUCUUCCGCAAUGGGCGAAAGCUUGACGGAGCAACGCCGCGUGAGUGAUGAAGGUCUUCGGAUCGUAAAACUCUGUUAUUAGGGAAGAACAAAUGUGUAAGUAACUAUGCACGUCUUGACGGUACCUAAUCAGAAAGCCACGGCUAACUACGUG